Molecule: microRNA precursor, 106 nt
Filed under: Lotus japonicus
Lineage: Eukaryota; Viridiplantae; Streptophyta; Magnoliopsida; Fabales; Fabaceae
Description: miR11087 stem-loop (lja-MIR11087)
Source: miRBase by way of RNAcentral
UAGCCUGUAUGGGUUUGGUUGAAACGGGUUGGGUUGUGUUAACCCGGGGUCUUAACGAGUCAAGAAAAUAUGAACCCAACCCGGCUCGCUACGAGCUCGCGGGCUG